This 6050-nucleotide long non-coding RNA is filed under the name Homo sapiens (human). RNAcentral describes it as "HSALNT0123915". The record is from RNAcentral. Lineage: Eukaryota; Metazoa; Chordata; Mammalia; Primates; Hominidae.
UGGGUUCAGGAUUGGUGCAUUUCCAGUUGUAUGAAGAAUACUUUUAUUAUUAUCUUAGGCACAAUUAUGACCUUAUUAUUAUCUUUAUUUGAAGAUUAUGUAUAAUUUCAGAAGAUGUGUAUGGGUUAAAGUUGACAAGGGGUGAACUUGUGAUGGUUAAUAUUGACUGUCAACUCUAUUGGACUGAAGGAUGCAAAGUAUUGUUCCUGGGUGUGUAUGUGAGGGUGUUGCCAAAGGAGAUUAACAUUUGAGUCAGGGGGCUGGGAAAGGCAGACCCGCCCUUAAACUAGGUGGGCACAAUCUAAUCAGCUGCCAGUGUGGCAAAAAUAAAAAUGAGGCAGAGGAACAUAAAGAGGUGAGACUGGCUUAGCCUCCGAGCCUACAUCUUUCUCCCAUGCUGGAUGGUUCCUGCCCUAGAACAUCGGACUCCAAGUUCUUCAGGUUUGGGACUCAGAAUGGCUUCCUUGCUCCUCAGCUUGCAGACAGCCUAUUGUGGAACCUUGUGAUCCUGUGAGUUAAUACCCCUUAAGAAACUCCCUUAUAUAUAUACAUCUAUCCUAACAGUUCUGCUCCUUUAGAGAACUGUGACUAAUACGAAGGGUGACAAUAGAGGAAUUUAUAUGCUAGACUUUUAUACUUUACCUCAAUUUUCAUUACCUUUUGAAGAAAAAAUGUUUCACAUAAUAAUCACAUAACAAUAAUUUAUUCAAAUUUAUUAAGGCAGGAGCUGGGCCUAAAGAGGGUGCUGAGAGGCAGGAGCUGGGCCUGGAGAGGUCAACUGAAGGAAAUUUUUGGCCUAAGGAGGCUGCCAGGAAGCAGGAGCUGGGCAAAAACAGGUUGUUGUUAGGCAGGAUUUGGGCUCAUAGAGGCAGCCAGGAGGCAGGAACUGGAUCUUUAUAAAAGGGGCAACGUAAGGCAGGAGCAGGGCCUGCAGAGUCUACCAGGAAGCAGGACCAGGGCACAAGAGGCUGACAUGAGGCAGAAAGUUGCCCUUGGGAGGCCACUGUGAGGCAGGACUCUUGAAAGGACGCAAAGCUGGGCCUGUAGUGGCUGCUAAAAGGCAGGAACGUGGUCUGGAAGGCCCUGGUGAGGAAAGAGUUGGGCCAAAAGAGGCCACUAGGAGGCAGGAGCUGGGCCUCAGGAGGCUGCCAUAAAACAGGAGCUGGGACUCGGAAGGCAGACAUGAAGCAAAAGCUGGCCUUUGGAAGGCUGAUGAAAGGGAGAAGCCGGGCCUGGUGAGGUUGACUUGAGAAAGUUUGGGGCCUGGAGAGAUCCAUGGGAGGCAGGAGCCAAACUUGUAGACGCUACUGGAAGGCAGGAGGUGGGCCUGGUGAGGUAAACAUGAGGAAGUUCUAGGCCUGGAGAGACAAGUCGGAGAAAGGAGCUGGGGGUAAAGAGGCUGUUGUAAGGCUUGAGAUAGGCCUGCAGAGGCGGCCUGGAGGCAGGAGCUGGGCCUGGAGAUGCCAAAUUGAGGAAGUUUUAGGCCUGCAGAGGCCGUGAAGAGAAAGGAGCUAAGCCUGGAGAGACCGAUGAAAGGCAGAAGCUGGGGCUAGAGAGGCCAUUGGCAGGCAAAAGCUGGGGCUAGAGAGGCCAUUGGCAGGCAAAAGCUCGGCCUCUGGAGGCCGCAAGGAGACAGGAGCCGGGCCUGGUGAGGUUGACUUAAGGAUGUUUUGGUCCUGGAGAGGCCGGGCCUAAAGAGGCUGUUGAAAGGAUGAUGCCAGGCCUGUAGAGGCCAACAGAAGGCAGGAGCUGGGCCUGAGAAGCCCAAAUUAAGAAAGUUUUAGGCCUGUAAGUUCCCUAAAGAGGCAGGAGCUAGGCAUGCAUGGAGAGGCUGCUGUGAGGCAGAAGCUGGGCCACUAGAGGUUGCCAAGAGGCAGGAGAAUGGCUUGAAGAUGUAGCAGUGAAAAUGAGCUGAGUCUAAAGAGGUCAUUGUUAGGCAGAAGCUGAGAUCCUAGAGGACACUCAGAGGUACAAGUUGGGCCUGGAGAGGUCGACUGGAAAAAAUUAUUGACUUAAAAAGAGCACCAAGGCAGUAGCUGGGCCUGGAGUGGACACAGGAAGGCAGAAGGUGGGACCUGGGAGGCCGCCAUUAAACAGGAGCUGAGUUUAUGAGGCAAAAGCUGGGCCUUAAAAGGCUGACCAGAUGCAGAAGCUAGGCCUGGUGACGAUGACGUGAGAAAGUUCUGGGCCUGAAGGGACAAUGCAAACGCAAGAGCUGGGCCUAAAUAAGCCAUUCGAAAAAUGGAGUUCGGCCUCAAGAAACUGCAGAAAAGCAAAAGCUGGGCUUGGAGAUGCUGCAACGAGGCAGGCACAAAAAUGGUCUAGCAACUGGAAACAGCUCUGGGCCUGGAGAGGAUGCCGGGAGGCGAGAGCCGGGUCUGGAGAGAGGCCGCCCACAGGCAGGAGCUGGGCCUGAGGCGGCCAAGCCGAGGCACGAGCUGGGCCCGGAGGGGCCACUGUGGGGCAGAGGCCGUGCCCCCAGGGGCCUACGCCAGGCAGGAGCUGGGCCUGGCGAGGCCGCUGUCAGGCAGGAGCUGGGCCUCUCCAGGCCGCCAGGGAGCUGAAGGCAGGGCCUGGAAGGCCUGACUUAGAGGAGCCUGGGGCCUACAAAUGCUGCCAUGAGCUGGGCAGGAGUUGGGCCGAACGUGCCUGUUGCGAGGCAGGAGCUGGGCCGGCAGCCACAGCCGGGAGGGAGAGCUGGGCCUGGAGAGGCCGGCUGGAAACAGUUCUGGACCUGGAGAGGAUGGCGAGAGGCAAGAGCUGGGCCUGUGGAGGCUGCCAACAGGCAAGGCAGGAGCUUGGCCUGAGGUGGCCAUGCUGAAGCAAGAGCUGGGUCUGGGGGGGUCCACUGUGAGGAGGCAGAGGCCAUGCCUCUAGGCGCCUACGACAGGCAGGAGCUGGGCCUGGCGAGGCCGACUUCAGGACGCUUUGGGCCCACACGGGCCAUCGGCGGGAGGCAGGAACUUGGCCUGGAAGGGCCAUCUUGAGAACGCCUUGAGCCGCGAGACGCUGUUGGGGUGGGCGGGAGCUGGGCCUGGAGACGCCACUGUGACGCCUGAGCUGGGCCUAGAGAGGCCAGUGUGAGGCGGGAGCUGGGCUUGUUGAGGCUACCGCGAGGCCGGCUAGAAAAUGGCCGGGGAAGGCCGCUGUGAGGCAAAAGCUGGGCCUGGGAAGGCCGCUGUGAGGGGAGACUGGGUAUGGAGUGCUGGACUGGAAGAGAUUUCAGGCCUACAAAGGCUGCCAGGAGCUGGGUAGGAGCCGAGUCAAAAGAGGCUCUUUGGAGGCAGGAGCUGGGCCUGUAGACACAGCUGCGAGAGAGGACUGGGACUGGAGAAGAGGCCGGGAGGCAGCAACUGCGGUGGGGGAGGCCGACUUGAGGAAUUUCUCGGCCUGGAGAGGCCACCAAAAGGGAAAAGCUGGGCCUAAGGUGGCCGUUGUGAGAAAUGAGCUGGGCCUAAAGAGGCCAUCAGGAUGAUCAGGACGCAGAGCUCGGCCUCUGCUGCAGAGGCUGCUGAAACGCAGCAGCUUGGUUUGGCGAGGCCACGGUGAAGCAUGAGAUGAGCCUAAAGAGGUCACUGGAAGGCAGUAGCUGGACCUGUCAGGACAUGACGCUCAGGUGGUUAUGCGAGCGAUGGGGAGGGGCUAUAAAUACAAACGAAUUUUCCCCUCACUUUGCUGCUCACCACCAGCUCUGUGGCCCUGUGGUGGAGACCCCUGCUCAGGUGCAUUUGAAAGGUUCCGUCCCAUGCCAUUCUUCAGAGUCAUCUUUAUUGCCACAGUGGUGAAGCAUAGCAUCCGUUAACUCGCAUGGCAUAUGCCUUGGCUAGCAUUUCAUCACAAUAAACAGUAAGUGGUAGCUUCACUCAUUGUGAGGACACUUCCUGGAAAUCACCAGCAUCCCAUGUCCCAUUGGCAAGAAACUCAGCACUGCUCCUUGGAUAACCAAACCAAGGCUGAAAUCCCAUGUAUAUGUGUCUAUCUCCUGGUACUCUUCCUAGCAUCAAUUCUGUAUUUCUAGGAGUCCAAUCAAAACAUAUAAACCGCUCAAAAGUUUAAACUGGAAUGCGCACGGUGGCUCAAACCUGUAAUCCCAGCGCUUUGGGAGGCCAAGGCGGGUGGAUUACUUUGAGCUCAGGAGUUGAGACCAGCCUGGGAAACACGGCAAAACCCUGUCUCUACAAAAAGCACAAAAAAAGCACAAAAAUUAGCCAGGCAUGCUGGCACAUACCUGUAAUCCCAGUUACUUGGGAGGCUGAGGAUGGAGAAUUGCUUGAGCCUUCGAAGUGGAGGUUGCUGUGAGCAGAGAUCAUGCCUCUGCACUCCAGCCUUGGUGACAGACUGAGACCCAAUACCAAAAAAAAAAAAAGUAACUUUAAUAUAAAAAAUAUUAAUUAUAACAGAGGAUCAGCAUAAUGAGUGACACACUAGCACUAACUACAGACAAUUCUAGAGAAUACAAAACUAGCAGAGGCCAGGCAUGGUGGCUCAUGCCUGUAAUCCCAGCAAUUUGGGAAGCCUAGGUAGAAGGACUGCUUGAGGCCAAAAGUUGGAGACCAGGCUGGGCAACUUAGUGAGACACUGUGUCUACCAAAAAAAAAAAAAAAUUAGCCAGGUAUGGUGGUGGUGCACAACUGUAGUUCCAGCUACUUGGGAGUCUGGGGUCGGAAGAUCCCUUGAACCUGGGAAGUCUAGGCUGUAGUGAACCAAGAUCAUGCCAGUACACUCUCGCCUGAGCAGCAGAGUGAGACCCUGUCUUAGGGAAGGGGAGGGGAAGGGAGGAGAGGGGAGGGGAGAGGAGGGGAGAGGAAUGCUAAUCCCCCUAUAAGAAUCUCCUCUUCUCCUGCCCUCUCUGGAACCUCACUUGUCAGUUCUUCCUCCCACUUCCCUGUAUGUUUAACCUGUCCCCUGCUUUUAGCUCCUUCCCACCAGCAUUUAAAUUACUCAAACUUCUGCUAUUUUAAAAAACUCUCCCUAAACUCAGUGUGUUCCCUGCUUUAGGUCUCCAGCACACCCACUGAGCCAUCUGCUCCCCCUGGUGCCUUCUCCACACAGCAGCGUGAGCCAUGUCUCUCAUACGUGAAUCUCAUCACAUUACUCCCCUGUUUACAUCACUUCUCCUUGCCUUUGGGAUUAAGUCCAAACUCCUUAACAGGCCCUGCUCUGCCCUGUCUUGCAAGGCAGCCUCACUGCUUGCCCCUCUCCAUUUUACCUGCUGUGGAGUCCAACUGAGCCUCAUCUGUCCCUUGAAUGCCCACUCUCUCUCUCUGCGAGCCUGCGAAGUGGGUGAUGCCCUCUGCUUAGAAUACGCUUCCCCUUAUCUACUCUCUUCCUGGCUAGCUUCAGCUCCUCUGUCACUUGUCCGCUUUAGCACCACCUCCUCCAGGAAGUCUUCCUUGACUCCCUAGAUUCUCAGGAGCAUGGGAAGCGAGGUGCUCCUCCCAUAAAUGAAUGGAGAUUAGGGAGUGUGUGUUAUUCAUGUUUAAUUCACCAGUGCUUACCUCAGUACCUGGCACAAAAUAGUCAUGGUGGUGGCCAAAGUAUCACAGUGGUGGCCAAAGUAAUGACCCCCCAACUGCUCAUGUCCUAUGUUACACCGCAUAAUUACAUAGGAAGGGGGAAUUAAGAGUACAGAUGGAAUUAAUGUUGCUAAUCAGCUGACCUUAAAACAAGAUUAUCCUGCAGUAUCUGGGUGAGCCCAUGUAAUUACAAGGGUUCUUUAAAUGUGGAAGAGGGAGGCAGAAGGUUAAGAACCAGAGACAUUGGGCAUAAUGGCUCAUGCCUGCAUUACCAGUACUUUGGGAGGCCAACACAGGAAAAUCCCUUGAGUGCAGGAGUUCAAGGCCAGCCUUGGCAACAUAGCAAGGCCCAUCUCUACAAAAAAAAAAAAAAAAGUCAAAAUUCACCGAGUGUCAUGGCACCAACCUGUAGUCCCAGCUACUGGGAAGGAUGAAGUGGGAGGAUUGCUUGAGCCUGGAAAUCUGAGGUUACAAUGAGCCAUGAUUGGACUACUGAACUCCAUCCUGGGUGACAGAGCAAGGUCCUGCUUCUAA